AACGCUGGCGGCGUGCUUAACACAUGCAAGUCGAGCGGGAAACUUCGGUUUCCAGCGGCGGACGGGUGAGUAACACGUGGGCAACCUGCCUCACAAUAGGGGAUAGCCCUCCGAAAGGAGGAUUAAUACCCUAUAACACAAGGAAAACGCAUGUUUUCUUUGCCAAAGAAUUUCGUUGUGAGAUGGGCCCGCGGCGCAUUAGCUUGUUGGUGAGGUAACGGCUCACCAAGGCUUCGAUGCGUAGCCGACCUGAGAGGGUGAUCGGCCACAUUGGAACUGAGACACGGUCCAGACUCCUACGGGAGGCAGCAGUGGGGAAUAUUGCACAAUGGAGGAAACUCUGAUGCAGCAACGCCGCGUGAGUGAUGAAGGUCUUCGGAUUGUAAAACUCUGUCUUAUGGGACGAUAAUGACGUACCAA
RNAcentral lists this ribosomal RNA (420 nucleotides) under uncultured bacterium. Its description in RNAcentral is "bacterial SSU rRNA". It matches the Rfam family "Bacterial small subunit ribosomal RNA", at positions 32 to 462 of the family's 1533-position model. The record is from RNAcentral.